This 271-nucleotide ribosomal RNA is filed under the name uncultured prokaryote. RNAcentral describes it as "partial 16S ribosomal RNA". It matches the Rfam family "Bacterial small subunit ribosomal RNA", at positions 524 to 794 of the family's 1533-position model. The record is from RNAcentral.
CACGUAGGAGGCAAACGUUAUCCGGAUUUACUGGGCGUAAAGCGCGUGUAGGUGGUUCUGUAAGUAGGGCGUGAAAGCUCCCGGCUCAACUGGGAGAGGCCGUUCUAAACUGCAGAGCUAGAGGAUGGUAGAGGGAGGUGGAAUUCCAGGUGUAGCGGUGGAAUGCGCAGAUAUCUGGAGGAACACCAGUGGCGAAAGCGGCCUCCUGGACCAUUCCUGACACUCAGACGCGAAAGCUAGGGUAGCAAACGGGAUUAGAUACCCGGGUAGU